RNAcentral lists this ribosomal RNA (181 nucleotides) under Salmonella enterica. RNAcentral's name for it is "partial 23S ribosomal RNA". It matches the Rfam family "Bacterial large subunit ribosomal RNA", at positions 2750 to 2925 of the family's 2925-position model. Lineage: Bacteria; Pseudomonadati; Pseudomonadota; Gammaproteobacteria; Enterobacterales; Enterobacteriaceae. The record is from RNAcentral.
UAAGUGCUGAAAGCAUAAGUGCUGAAAGCAUCUAAGCACGAAACUUGCCCCGAGAUGAGUUCUCCCUGAGACUUAGAGUCUCCUGAAGGAACGUUGAAGACGACGACGUUGAUAGGCCGGGUGUGUAAGCGCAGCGAUGCGUUGAGCUAACCGGUACUAAUGAACCGUGAGGCUUAACCUU